RNAcentral lists this unclassified non-coding RNA (359 nucleotides) under uncultured Chloroflexota bacterium. Its description in RNAcentral is "uncultured Chloroflexi bacterium contains 16S-23S intergenic spacer region". Lineage: Bacteria; Bacillati; Chloroflexota. The record is from RNAcentral.
UCCGGUUUGUCACCGGCAUAACCCGCUGGUAACUAGGGACGAGGGUUGCGCUCGUUGCGGGACUUAACCCAACACCUCACGGCACGAGCUGACGACAGCCAUGCACCACCUGCGCAUAAGUCCCUUGCGGGAGGUUCUGGCUUUCACCAAAAUUUCCUAUGCAUGUCAAACCCAGGUAAGGUUCUUCGCGUUGCCUCGAAUUAAACCACACGCUCCGCUGCUUGUGCGGGCCCCCGCCUAUUCCUUUGAGUUUUAACCUUGCGGCCGUAGUCCCCAGGCGGUCAACUUCACGCGUUAGCUGCGGUACUGAGAAAUCGCUUCCCCAACACCUAGUUGACAUCGUUUAGGGCGUGGACUAC